Esox lucius (northern pike) is the source of this 969-nucleotide long non-coding RNA. The record is from Ensembl. NCBI's taxonomy places the organism in Eukaryota, Metazoa, Chordata, Actinopteri, Esociformes, Esocidae.
AUUGGUCAAUUUUCCUUUCUUUUAACAAUUUAAGUACAUAGAAAAUAACAGAUAAAUUAGACAAUGAUAAAGGUAUUAACAGAGUGUCAUGUUAAUAGCAAUUAAAUAGUUAAGGUAGAGGUUCAGGUGUCAGGGUCUGUGUACCUAUAGUUAAGGUAGAGGUUGUCAGGGUCUUUGUAUCUAUAGUUAAGGUAGAGGUUGUCAGGGUCUGUGUACUUAUAGUUAAGGUAAAGGUUGUCAGGGUCUGUGUACCUAUAGUUAAGGUAAAGGUUGUCAGGGUCUGUGUACCUAUAGUUAAGGUAAAGGUUGUCAGGGUCUAUGUAGCUAUAGUUAAGGUAGAGGUUGUCAGGGUCUAUGAAGCUAUAGUUAAGGUAGAGGUUGUCAGGGUCUAUGUACCUAUAGUUAAGGUAGAGGUUGUCAGGGUAUAUGUACCUAUAGUUAAGGUAGAGGUUGUCAGGGUCUAUGUACCUAUAGUUAAGGUAGAGGUUGUCAGGGUCUAUGUACCUAUAGUUAAGGUAGAGGUUGUCAGGGUCUAUGUACCUAUAGUUAAGGUAGAGGUUGUCAGGGUCUGUGUACCUAUAGUUAAGGUAGAGGUUGUCAGGGUCUGUGUACCUAUAGUUAAGGUAGAGGUUGUCAGGGUCUGUGUACCUAUAGUUAAGGUAGAGGUUGUCAGGGUCUGUGUACCUAUAGUUAAGGUAGAGGUUGUCAGGGUCUGUGUACCUAUAGUUAAGGUAGAGGUUGUCAGGGUCUGUGUGACAGGGAUUCUUUGUCCUUCAAGACCCGGUGUAGAGGUCUCGGAUGACAGGACGCUUGGCCCUAGUGAUGAAGUCUGCCGUUUGCUCUGUCCUCGGAAGCGCCUUGAGGUUGAGGGCAGGACAGUUGCCACUGCAAAAAUACAGCCAAUCAAGUUGGUUUUGAUGGUUCAGGUGUUGUUACUGUUUUGAAAACGAGGUUGAUGCUAAAUCUUUA